Molecule: long non-coding RNA, 5109 nt
Filed under: Sus scrofa (pig)
Lineage: Eukaryota; Metazoa; Chordata; Mammalia; Artiodactyla; Suidae
Description: lncRNA (ENSSSCG00060004010.1)
Source: RNAcentral
UUUUUUUUUUUUUUUUUUUGUCUUUUGUCUUUUUGUUGUUAUUGUUGUUGUUGCUAUUUUUUGGGCCGCUCCCGCGGCAUAUGGAGGUUCCCAGGCUAGGGGUUGAAUCGGAGCUGUAGCCACCGGCCUACGCCAGAGCCACAGCAACGCGGGAUCCGAACUGCGUCUGCAACCUACACCACAGCUCACGGCAACGCCGGAUCGUUAACCCACUGAGCAAGGCCAGGAACCGAACCCGCAACCUCAUGGUUCCUAGUCAGAUUCGUUAACCACUGCGCCACGACAGGAACUCCUGCAGUUGGAUUCUUAACGCACCGCACCACUGUGAGAACUCGCCAAGAUAUAUUUUGAGCAAAUAAAUGAACUUCAAUUGUGCACACUGUUUUUCCUAGUGGACAAAAUAAUUAUAAUACAUUCAGAAACUAGCUUGGUUUGUUACUAAGUACUGCUCACAUUGUUUCUAUACUAAGCUAUACCUCCAUGUAGAGAAUCCAUACUUAUUCCAAGUGCUAUGUGAGUUUCUGGGGAUGUGGAGAUUUUUAAACAGAAAAAUUAAAACGAAUUCAUGUUUGCAGACUCCCUGAAAUAGCCCAGGUACUGUGCUGAGUGCCUUCACAUACAUUUUUUUUUUUUUUCAAUUAACCUUCACCUAAAUCUUAUGAGAUAAUAUAUGAUUAUUAUGAUUUUAAAGAAACAAGAUGAUCUCAGAGGGAUUGAGUAUACCAAAGUCUCAGAGCUAAUCCGUGGGGAAAAUUGAUACUCAAACUCAGGUUCCUGCCCUUUUUUCCUCCAACCCUGCUUGGGGCCUAUGGCCAAGAACCUCAGACUUUCCACCCCUUGCUAGAAGCCUGCAGGGAACAGAGCAAUGUCACACAAGUCUGAAACCUCACAGUUUCCGCUCUGCAGAGGGAACUCCGUAAUCCAUUGUUCCAAGGUCAUUGAAGGGAAAAAUACAUGCCUUUGCCUCAGAGAAAUCAUCAUGUUUGUUACUCGCAGUGCUUUUUGUCUUGUUUUAAAAUUUAAUUGGAGCUCAGACUUUGCUUCUGUGACUGCCAAAUGACCAAGAGUUCAGCGGCCCUGCUGUGGGCUUUUCAGCCAAUUCAUGAGGGUUAUUUUAUUUGACAAGGGUCCUGUUUUAAUGGGAAGGGUUGUCACAUCCCAUUCACAUCCUAUUUUUGAUCUCGCCGCAGCAAAUUCGGUUGAACUAUUCCCAUGCUCUCAUCACUGUCCCUUCCCAGUUCUUGCUUUUAGCAGCCCCCCUUUGAUUUGGAGAGAGAGAGAGCACGUCCUGGUCAAGCUGUUUCCUGCCUCACCGGAUUUUCCCAACACCUGAAUAUACUCUUCCGCGGCCAGCAGGGUGGAAGGUGCCAGAAUUCUACGGCAGCAGCUGCACAGCCAGAUGCUUUGGGAUUGCAGACAAUGCGGGCGCAGACCGGAUCCAUCCUAGCGUCCCCGCCCCCGCCCUCAAAACCCUCCAUCGUUCAACAAGCGGAUUCUGCGUUGUAACAGUACAUUUAAUUUCUUUUUCGCGGGAGAGGCUGUUGUUCCAUGGCAGAUAAAUGCCUUAAAAUGAGUCUCUGGGCAGCCCUGCCUGUGAGUGUGGAGUCGCAGUCACUUGAGCUCCUUGUCACCAGGUGGUACCCAAAGCAGAUGACUUCAUUAGCACAGAGACAGCGGCCGAGUUUGGGAGAGCAGAAGUCAGACCAAGACAUAGACAAAGGGAGUUGAAUGGGAGAGGAGGUGAGAAAAGAAGGAAGGAAACAGAAAGUAGGAAGGAAAAAAAAAAGGCAUGGGGCUCAUAAAGAUGCGAGCAAUACUCUUUGAAGUGAGGUCUCCAUUCUCCCUCUCAACCACAACCAUUCAAGCCCUUUUCACCAGAGUCAUUGUGCGGACAGGUUUCCAGUCUAAUCCUGGGGCUUAGGGUACAAUGGAGAUCUCAUUAUCAUGGCAGCUAAAGUGUGGAAGUAGUCUCUAUGGAAUCUCCAUGUUCCUGGAAAGAAUCCCGAGGUUCCUUGACACCUUUUGAUCUGCAACAUCCCCCAGACUUCGCCAAGUUGUCCCACUUCGUAGGUGCACGUUUCUUCUUCUAAAUUCAGAUGCUUAAUGAGCCUGCAGUUCUGGUAGGAGUCCCAGACUAGUGGUAUCCACGGCCCUGCCCGAUCCUCAAGGGUAUCCUUCAAGUGAAGCAGGCUCCUUGGAGUUGCACGUAUGACCUUCAAUGACUGUCCUGGUGCCACAUCCCAACACCUCUAUAGUGAGUAGGGGCCAACCUCUUAAUCCUAGGUGUGGCUAGGCGCCUGUUUCAACAGAUAGUUAUGUCCACCUCAUCUAAUUCGGAAAAGCACCAGUUAUGUUUUGUCCUGUUAGUGCCAGGAAAUUGAGCUUGGCCUGAUUCAGGCAAAAUGCUCUAAAGAUUGCUGUUCCCCACACUUCCACCUCCCAUCAGGGAAAAGCAUUCUACCGAUAGCAGAGAUGGUUCUCCUUUUGGUCCAGUCUCUAAUUUCUCUUCUCCAAAUGCCAGCCCUGGAGGUUGACAUACAGUGCUGUGUGUCAGUUAUAUCUCAAUGAAAGUGGAGGCAAAAUAAAUAAAUAAAUACAUACAUACAUACAUAAAUAAAAUAUAUAAGUUUACUGAUUGCAGUGUUUUCAGUAUUUCUAUAGGUAGGAUUGAGAUGAUGGAGUUAUGUAUGUGAACUGUACUUACAAUAGCUCGAGAGAGAGAAUAAAGACAACAGCAUGUGGAUAGUGGCUCUGAGUAGCAGAAAUGCUAACGUGGAAUUGUCAACAGGGUAAAAUGCAUGACAUGCAAAUAGAAAAUGAACACAUGUCCAUCAAUGUAUUAAGUGAUGAGGAAACCAGUAAGAUAUUAAGACUGGCUCAAAGAAUAUUGAAAGAGCUAGAUGUUUACAGUCAAUCGAACAACAACAAAAAAAGUGCUAAGUUAUAAUGGUUGGACUGGAUACAAAACUGGUUAAUAUUCUACAGCACAGGCUGAUUAUUGAUGCUUUUCCGACUGGACAGAAAUUAUUUACAUCUCUACUGAACAAAAAUCUACAAGCUAACUUGUGGCUUCACUAAAACUUUAAUCAAGAAUAAACAGUGAGGCGUUCUCAUCGUGGCUUAGCAGAAACAUGCCCAACUUGUAUCUAUGGGAUGCCAGUUCGGUCCCUGUCCUUGCUCAGUGGGUUAAGGAUCCACGUUGCUGUGGCCAUGGUGUAGGCCAGCAGCUGCAGCUCUGAUUCGACCCGUAGCCUGGAAACUUCGGUAUGCUGUAUGUGUGGCUCUAAAAAGCAAAGUAAAUAAAUAAAAUAUAAAAUGAUGUGGUUUGCACUGUGUUUCACAUAUUUCUCUUGGUUCUAGAUAAUCCUUGGGUGGGGUCAUUGCCCUCUUACCUUGUUUAAAGGUCAUGCCAUCCAUUUUUAUGUCUCGUUUCCAAGUUUUGAAUAAUUUCUUUCAUCAGAAGUAUGAGUAAUUUUAUUUUUCUUCAUUUGCUUUGUCAUUUUACAAAAUCUCAAAUAGACAAGCAUUAAUUUUAUAGACUGGAAAAAAAAUUAUCGUGUACUUGGCUGUGAAUAAGAGUAAAAUGCCUGGUGACUCAGCAGGUUAAAGAUCCUGCCUUUGUCACUGCUGUGGCGCAGGUUCGAUUCCCAGCUCGGGAAAUUCUGCAUGGUGCGGGCACGGCAAAAAACAAACACAUGAGAAAAGUCAGGUUAGGAGAUAAAAAUCACACGAGCAGGAUUCCGAGUGGGACUCUCAUUGUAUAUUCAGCUGUGUUAACUCCAAAGUUCUCCUGUGAGUUAUUUUCACUAAUGAUUUUAAGCAGCCAAGCAUCUCUGAAAGUCCAUUUCAGAGAAAAUGAGAGAGGCCCCAGGCCUGGGUGUGAAAGCCUCAUCUGGGUAGAAGGAGCUUCACUGUACAGUGGUCUGAGUUCCACGCUUUCUCCCGGAAUUCUCAGCCUAGGAUUCACCACAUGGGGAAGUCAGGUGGUGUGUCAGCUUGAGUUUCAGAGUUCAGGUGGUGGAGAAGGCAGCGGGAUCAAGGUACCACAUCUGCUCCCUGUACAGCUGGACCAGACUGGGACAGCCUGACCAUCUCCACAUGGUCAGAGAUGGCCAUGACCCAAAGGGUGAGAGAUUCCCAGGGACCCUCCCAUCCUAGGCUGUUACAUCUUUACCUGCUGGACCAUCUCUGCAUUACAGGUUCACAGGUGCUUGUCAGCUUCAUUGGGUAAUGCUUGUCCUGAGGGAAACCCUUCGAGAGCUGGUUUCCAUUGUGUUGCUGUCUCAUAGAAUCCUCCUAUCUUUGGGUGAAAUACACGGACCAAAAAAGCCAAAGCACUGGGAUUUGUGUUCUAGUUUUCUACUAUCCUGUUCCCCACAGUGAACAAUGCAAAUCCGUCAACACAUGAGGAUAACUGUUAAACGCUGAGAUGUUAAGGUGACCUGCAAGCCUUAGGUUCUCCAAGAUAUAAUCAUUUUCUCUAAAGUAUACACAAUCCAAAAAAAGUAUACAAAAUGAAGAUUAGUAAUAGUAUCCCCAAUUCCCUGGGUUUUGAGGGAAGGGUAUAAUUUAUAUAGAAAAAUAAUAUUUAUACACAUUAUAAAACUCGAGGGGUAGUUUGCUUUAUUAUUUUUUAUUUUUAUUUUUUUGGCCCCACCCAUGGCAUACAGAAGUUCCCAGGUCAAGAAUUGAAUCCCAGCUGCAUAUUCGACCUGUGCCAUCGCUGGAGUAAUGCCAAAUCCUUAACCCACUGUGCCAUAGUGGGAACUCCUGGUAGUUUACUUUAAAAUAAAUUAUCCCUCUCUCCUUUUUUAACAUUUCUUCUGUUAGACGUGAUGGCAAAAAAGAUUCAUCCAUGUUUGUCUUCUCUUUGAAUUUUGAACUUUAAUCAAUUGUCCUGAUUUUCAAGUUCAUGUAGCAAAAUGGAGACCAGUUGCAGUUGAGACUGCUUCACUGAGGCCGAUUCAAUAAACAAGCUGAAAAGAAAGUGUCUUUCUGUAUAUGCUUCUAAUGGGGGGUGGGAAGUUUAUUUUUUCUUUCUGUUUUUUUAUUUUUUGUUUUUUGUUUUUGGCCACCCUAGUCAUAGCUGUGACAGUGCUGGAUCCUUAA